RNAcentral lists this ribosomal RNA (373 nucleotides) under uncultured organism. RNAcentral describes it as "partial 16S ribosomal RNA". It matches the Rfam family "Bacterial small subunit ribosomal RNA", at positions 527 to 896 of the family's 1533-position model. The record is from RNAcentral.
GUAGGUGGCAAGCGUUGUCCGGAAUUAUUGGGCGUAAAGCGCGCGCAGGCGGUCCUUUAAGUCUGAUGUGAAAGCCCACGGCUCAACCGUGGAGGGUCAUUGGAAACUGGGGGACUUGAGUACAGAAGAGGAAAGCGGAAUUCCAAGUGUAGCGGUGAAAUGCGUAGAGAUUUGGAGGAACACCAGUGGCGAAGGCGGCUUUCUGGUCUGUAACUGACGCUGAGGCGCGAAAGCGUGGGGAGCAAACAGGGAUUAGAUACCCUGGUAGUCCACGCCGUAAACGAUGAGUGCUAAGUGUUAGGGGGUUUCCGCCCCUUAGUGCUGCAGCUAACGCAUUAAGCACUCCGCCUGGGGGAGUACGGCCGCAUGGCUG